AUGGAGCUUGCUCUAGUGUACCUUAGCAGCGAACGGGUGAGUAACACGUAGAUAAUCUGUCCUAUAUUGGGGGAUAGCCCGAUGAAAGUUGGAUUAAUACCGCAUACAGCUAUAUAGUUGCAUGAUUAUAUAGUGAAAGAUUUAUUGAUAUAGGAGGAGUCUGCGGCACAUUAGCUAGUAGGUGAGGUAAGAGCUUACCUAGGCGACGAUGUGUAGCCGGUCUGAGAGGAUGAACGGCCACAAUGGAACUGAGACACGGUCCAUACUCCUACGGGAGGCAGCAGUGGGGAAUAUUGCACAAUGGGGAAACCCUGAUGCAGCAACGCCGCGUGAGUGAAGAAGGUUUUCGGAUUGUAAAGCUCUGUUAGCAGGGAAGAGGAAGGACGGUACCUGCAGAGGAAGCCACGGCUAACUACGUGCCAGCAGCCGCGGUAAUACGUAGGUGGCAAGCGUUGUUCGGAAUAACCGGGCGUAAAGGAUGCGUAGGCGGUUAAAUAAGUUAUAUGUUAAAUAUAUAGGCUUAACCUGUAGAAAGCAUAUAAAACUGUUUAACUAGAGUGCAGGAGAGGUAAGUGGAAUUCCUAGUGUAGCGGUGAAAUGCGUAGAGAUUAGGAAGAACACCAGUGGCGAAGGCGACUUACUGGACUGUAACUGACGCUCAG
RNAcentral lists this ribosomal RNA (662 nucleotides) under uncultured bacterium. Its description in RNAcentral is "bacterial SSU rRNA". It matches the Rfam family "Bacterial small subunit ribosomal RNA", at positions 73 to 750 of the family's 1533-position model. The record is from RNAcentral.